Molecule: long non-coding RNA, 395 nt
Organism: Triplophysa dalaica
Lineage: Eukaryota; Metazoa; Chordata; Actinopteri; Cypriniformes; Nemacheilidae
Exons: 3
Source: RefSeq, a predicted model, not a curated record
GCCGACUGUCUUUGAUUUGGCGGCAGCUUUCGUUUGAUAAAUAAAGCCCAACAAAUUCAAAAUGGUGUCAUUGCCUGAACCCGAACAAUGUUCAUAUUACAGUGGACAGAAUCACAGACAUAAAGCAAAAAGAAAUCUUGCUGGAAUUUAGCGACACAGAAUGUUGAGCUCAUUGGAGAAGAUUCAGACAUGAGCAUGAAUGUGCUGUUCUGCACAAACAGAAGGUGAAGUGAAGGGAAAGCAACCUGCUUUGCAUCAUCUUUGAACAUUUCCCAGACAGAGGAAUUAAUUCUGGUGGCCCUCCAUUCCUGUCCAUCUCAGCUGAUGUUCCUUCACUCCCCUCAGCUGUUUUAUAAUUUUGGUGACCAGCUCUGGGAUUGUUGUUGACCUUGAUG